Molecule: non-coding RNA, 45 nt
Filed under: Schistosoma mansoni
Lineage: Eukaryota; Metazoa; Platyhelminthes; Trematoda; Strigeidida; Schistosomatidae
Source: RNAcentral
AUCCAGUUGACGAGUUCUGAAUAGGACGAAACGCGCAUCCUGGAU